AACGAACGCUGGCGGCAGGCUUAACACAUGCAAGUCGAACGCCCCGCAAGGGGAGUGGCAGACGGGUGAGUAACGCGUGGGAACAUACCCUUUUCUACGGAAUAGCUCUGGGAAACUGGAAUUAAUACCGUAUACGCCCUACGGGGGAAAGAUUUAUCGGGGAAGGAUUGGCCCGCGUUGGAUUAGCUAGUUGGUGGGGUAAAGGCCUACCAAGGCGACGAUCCAUAGCUGGUCUGAGAGGAUGAUCAGCCACAUUGGGACUGAGACACGGCCCAAACUCCUACGGAAGGCAGCAGUGGGGAAUAUUGGACGAUGGGCGCAAGCCUGAUCCAGCCAUGCCGCGUGAGUGAUGAAGGCCUUAGGGUUGUAAAGCUCUUUCACCGAUGAAGAUAAUGACGGUAGUCGGAGAAGAAGCCCCGGCUAACUUCGUG
This 431-nucleotide ribosomal RNA is filed under the name uncultured bacterium. RNAcentral's name for it is "partial 16S ribosomal RNA". It matches the Rfam family "Bacterial small subunit ribosomal RNA", at positions 29 to 507 of the family's 1533-position model. The record is from RNAcentral.